This 140-nucleotide ribosomal RNA is filed under the name Brassica napus (rape). RNAcentral's name for it is "rRNA 5_8S_rRNA". It matches the Rfam family "5.8S ribosomal RNA". Rfam says of the family: 5.8S ribosomal RNA (5.8S rRNA) is a component of the large subunit of the eukaryotic ribosome. It is transcribed by RNA polymerase I as part of the 45S precursor that also contains 18S and 28S rRNA. Lineage: Eukaryota; Viridiplantae; Streptophyta; Magnoliopsida; Brassicales; Brassicaceae. The record is from Rfam by way of RNAcentral.
GACUCUCGGCAAUGGAUAUCUCGGCUCUCGCAUCGAUGAAGAACGAAGCGAAAUGCGAUACUUGGUGUGAAUUGCAGAAUCCCAUGAACGCAAGUUGCGCCCCAAGCCUUCUCGCCGAGGGCACGUCUGCCAGGGUGUCA